RNAcentral lists this ribosomal RNA (253 nucleotides) under uncultured bacterium. RNAcentral's name for it is "partial 16S ribosomal RNA". It matches the Rfam family "Bacterial small subunit ribosomal RNA", at positions 524 to 776 of the family's 1533-position model. The record is from RNAcentral.
UACGUAGGGGGCGAGCGUUGUCCGGAUUUACUGGGCGUAAAGCGCGUGUAGGCGGUUGCCCAAGUCGGGUGUGAAAGCCUUGAGCUCAACUCAAGAAAUGCACUCGGUACUGGGUGACUAGAGGACCGGAGAGGAUAGUGGAAUUCCCAGUGUAGUGGUGAAAUACGUAGAGAUUGGGAAGAACACCAGUGGCGAAGGCGGCUAUCUGGACGGUUUCUGACGCUAAGACGCGAAAGCGUGGGGAGCAAACAGG